Syngnathus acus (greater pipefish) is the source of this 131-nucleotide long non-coding RNA. RefSeq lists it as uncharacterized. The transcript is spliced from 2 exons. Lineage: Eukaryota; Metazoa; Chordata; Actinopteri; Syngnathiformes; Syngnathidae. The record is from RefSeq and is a predicted model, not a curated record.
GCACUGGUUAGCACGUCAGCCGCACAGUUAGGAGGGUGCCGGUUUGAUUCCAACUCCGGCCCUCCCUAUGUGGAGUUUGCAUGUUCUCCCCGUGCCUGCGUACGUUUUCUCCGGGCACCACGGUUUCCUCC